CACGUAGUUAGCCGUCCCUUUCUGGUAAGAUACCGUCACAGCGUGAACUUUCCACUCUCACACUCGUUCUUCUCUUACAACAGAGCUUUACGAUCCGAAAACCUUCUUCACUCACGCGGCGUUGCUCGGUCAGACUUCCGUCCAUUGCCGAAGAUUCCCUACUGCUGCCUCCCGUAGGAGUCUGGGCCGUGUCUCAGUCCCAGUGUGGCCGAUCACCCUCUCAGGUCGGCUAUGUAUCGUCGCCUUGGUGAGCCGUUACCUCACCAACUAGCUAAUACAACGCAGGUCCAUCUCUUAGUGAUGCAGUUGCACCUUUCAAAUCAACAUCAUGCAAUGUCGACUUUUAUGCGGUAUUAGCUAUCGUUUCCAAUAGUUAUCCCCCGCUAAGAGGCAGGUUACCUACGCGUUACUCACCCGUUCGCAACUCAUCCGGAAAGAGCAAGCUCCUUCCUUCAGCGUUCUACUUGCAUGUAUUAGGCACGCCGCCAGCGUUCA
This 495-nucleotide ribosomal RNA is filed under the name uncultured Streptococcus sp. RNAcentral describes it as "partial 16S ribosomal RNA". Lineage: Bacteria; Bacillati; Bacillota; Bacilli; Lactobacillales; Streptococcaceae. The record is from RNAcentral.